GAGUGGGGGAUAGCCCGGCGAAAGCCGGAUUAAUCCCGCAUACGAUCUCUGGAUGAAAGCGGGGGACCGAAAGGCCUCGCGCUCAAGGGGCGGCCGAUGGCAGAUUAGCUAGUUGGUGGGGUAAAGGCCUACCAAGGCGACGAUCUGUAGCUGGUCUGAGAGGACGACCAGCCACACUGGGACUGAGACACGGCCCAGACUCCUACGGGAGGCAGCAGUGGGGAAUUUUGGACAAUGGGGGCAACCCUGAUCCAGCAAUGCCGCGUGUGUGAAGAAGGCCUUCGGGUUGUAAAGCACUUUUGUCCGGAAAGAAAACCACUUCUCUAAUACAGAGGUGGGAUGACGGUACCGGAAGAAUAAGCACCGGCUAACUACGUGCCAGCAGCCGCGGUAAUACGUAGGGUGCGAGCGUUAAUCGGAAUUACUGGGCGUAAAGCGUGCGCAGGCGGUUCGCUAAGACCGAUGUGAAAUCCCCGGGCUUAACCUGGGAACUGCAUUGGUGACUGGCGGGCUAGAGUAUGGCAGAGGGGGGUAGAAUUCCACGUGUAGCAGUGAAAUGCGUAGAGAUGUGGAGGAAUAC
RNAcentral lists this ribosomal RNA (580 nucleotides) under Burkholderia sp. OSi05. Its description in RNAcentral is "bacterial SSU rRNA". It matches the Rfam family "Bacterial small subunit ribosomal RNA", at positions 134 to 709 of the family's 1533-position model. The record is from RNAcentral. Lineage: Bacteria; Pseudomonadati; Pseudomonadota; Betaproteobacteria; Burkholderiales; Burkholderiaceae.